RNAcentral lists this ribosomal RNA (468 nucleotides) under uncultured bacterium. RNAcentral's name for it is "partial 16S ribosomal RNA". It matches the Rfam family "Bacterial small subunit ribosomal RNA", at positions 28 to 507 of the family's 1533-position model. The record is from RNAcentral.
GACGAACGCUGGCGGCGUGCUUAACACAUGCAAGUCGAACGGAAAGGCCCUGCCUUUGUGGGGUGCUCGAGUGGCGAACGGGUGAGUAACACGUGAGUAACCUGCCCUUGACUUUGGGAUAACCUCAGGAAACUGGGGCUAAUACCGGAUAGGAGCUCCUGCUGCAUGGUGGGGGUUGGAAAGUUUCGGCGGUUGGGGGUGGACUCGCGGCCUAUCAGCUUGUUGGUGGGGUAGUGGCUUACCAAGGCCUUGACGGGUAGCCGGCCUGAGCGGGUGACCGGCCACAUUGGGACUGGAAUACGGCCCAGACUCCUACGGGAGGCAGCGGUGGGGAAUAUUACACAAGGGGCGGAAGCCAGAUGCAGCAACGCCGCGUGCGGGAUGACGGCCUUCGGGUUGUAAACCGCUUUCGCCUGUGACGAGGUGUGAGUGACGGUAAUGGGUAAAGAAGCACCGGCUAACUACGUG